UUUGGUUCCACUCCGCUUCUGCGUGGGGAGUCCCUUGGUAGGGGUGGAAUGCUGGGAUUUCCCACCACCAGGAUCCCUAGCCCAUUUCCUAUACAGACCCUAGGACCCCUAGGCCUGCAGGGACCCAACCACACAAUCCUCCUGGGGACUUAAGGCCAGGAAAGCCCCCAUCUCUCCAUUAAGCUGCUACUGCUGGGAAGACGGGGACCCCAGCUGAGCCCUGGACCCUGGGAAAGUCCUGCCACCCCAAUGGGCCAGCAUCCAGGGGCAUUACUGCUGGCAACAAUAUGGCAGCCCUGGCUGUCCUGGAUCUUGCUUUGAAGACCAGCCUGGCCUUGAACUCACAGAGAUCUGCCUGCCUCUACUUCCUGAGUGCUAGGAUUAAAGGCAUGCACCACCACCGCCUGACCCUCCCUGCUUUUCAUGAUCAACAGGUAUAUGGAACUGUGAAUGAAAUAAAUACUUGUCUCCCCAAGUUGCUUUUGGUCACAGUGUUUCAUCAGAGCAAUAGUAACCCUAACUAAGACACAGACGUUCAUAGAGCUGCCCAGGCUACUAAUGGGAAAGAGUUCCUUGAAGCUUUUUGAUUGAGCUAUGUCUUGACCCAAGUGGUGUUCACAUGAAUUACACCUGCAAUGAAGCAGCUAACAAUUAAACACACAGACACACUCAUAUAGACGCACACAAACCCAGACACACCCAGACAGACUCCCUGCACACACACCACAGCUGUGCAUUACGUAAGACAUUGCCAUUGGGAGAAACCAGGUAACAUAGACUAGACAUAACUCAUUAGAGACUUUCUCUGUACUAGCAUUUUUUUCCACAGGGCCCCCACAUGGCUACCAUCGUCCCAUUUCAGCAGGAAGUAACCUAGAAGAUGCUACGCCCCGUUCCCCAUUAUUGUUUAUUAGGGUAGUGUAAGUCUAGUUAAGAAUGACCUUCUUAUUGUUUAGAGUCGGGAUUGGAAGAAGGUGUUCAAGUUAGACACCUUUUCCACAUGACUUUAAGACUUAUCUGGAAUAGACAUAGGAUGUACCAUGG
This 1044-nucleotide long non-coding RNA is filed under the name Cricetulus griseus (Chinese hamster). Its description in RNAcentral is "lncRNA (ENSCGRG00015030580.1)". Lineage: Eukaryota; Metazoa; Chordata; Mammalia; Rodentia; Cricetidae. The record is from RNAcentral.